AGAACAAGUGUCAACGCUUUUAAAGGGCACGGCUUGUUUCAGCCACAAAAACGCACCGGCUGGCAAGGCAGGCGGCUGGGGGCUGCCUACCCGGAAGCCGGGUGGGGUGGGGGCGGGAACACCUCCGAACCCCGACUCCGCAGUCGCCGCCCAGGCGCGCCGCCCCUCCCUCCGCGCCCGUCCCCACCGCGGGAAGGGGCACCCCGGGCUCGAGUCGUCGGGCAGCCGACGCCGGCGAGACGGCAGGGCGUCGGAGAGGAGGCUGCAGAGCGGAGGCAAACCCAGCGCGAACGAGGGAAGACGUUACCUUGUUCAUCCCAUUCCCCAUGGUGGCUGAAGGCGAACGCUAGCGCCCCGGCCGUGUGGUCGCAGGCUCACUAUGCGAGUUACAGACAUGCUGGUCUCCUGUCUGUUCCUUGAGCCUGUCAGGCUUGCUGGGCUGUGCUCUCUAUCCAGACACCUGGAUCCCCAGCUCUCUGCAUACCUGCCUGUUAUCGCUGAGGUAUCAGCCCAAAUGCCAUCUCUCCUAAGAGGCUUUUCCUAACCACCCAAUUCCAGUUCUAUGACUUUUACUCUCUAGCUCUUGAUUAUGGAAAGAAAGGAAGAAAGGAAAGUCUUCAACAAAGCUGGCGUAUUUCACAUCCAUAGUAGAAUCUCUAUUCAUUUGCGCUUUAUCGCACUCAUAAAAAUUUUAAGGCAUCACAAGCCCGGUGGAUUUUCACACUAUCAUUGUCCAGAGAGAGGCUGCCCAGUUGAAUACCUGAGUUCUCAAGGCCAUGCAGAACAGCCUGACCAUGAGGAUGGGCCCCUGUGGUAUACGACCUCAACUCUUCAAAGGUCACAAUUUCCAGCCUUCCAAGCAGUCUUCUAAUUAUGAACGUGGUUUCCUCCUUUCACUGAAGAGAUUUGCGGGGCUCAGAUCUCAGCACGGAUAUCUGGAGAGUGUGGGGUCAGGGAAGAGCAGCAAGAGGAAUGGAUAUCCAGACCCCGCAAACAACAACUAACAUGAGGACAACUGCUGGGAAGAGGCUGAAGCAAUUGCAGCAUGAUCACACAAGUGAUAACCACCAAGCCAAAGGGACAGGAAGCUCUCGGCAUUGUUGGUGUUUUACUCGAGCCAUGGUACAAAUAAUUCCCUGUGUGAGAUGUUGAAGGAGAGCAGCUGCCUCCCAUUGCUGGGCAGGGCCAGGCACACUCAGCUGCUUGGAACACAUGGCAGCAACGAAUUUCUGCUCAAGGCUCGGAUCAGGCAACUGAUGCUUUCCGGAAGGGAAAUAAUGGCUGAGGAAACGUCGAUGUCAAUAUUUCUUCAUGGAGAAAAACACAUUUUGAUCUUUUCCUCAAACAAGUCAAUAAGGGACACAAGCUCUGCCAAAGAUAUGCAGGAGAAUUCAGCUCCAAGGGAAGGAGCAGAAACCCCAACCCUGAAGUCCCAGACACACAGGGCCUGCCUGAGGCUGAGGCUAGACCAGGACAACAAAGAAUUCUCCUGCUUCCCACCACAACGAUUGUUCAUAGCAAGUAAGAAGAAGCAGGCUACCACUGGGAGAUGGCAAGAGCACAGAGAGAGAGAAUGUCUGUGGUGCAAGAGUACCAAGGAGGCCAAAGCUGAGGAUGAAGAAGGAACAUUGAGGAAAACUCUCCAGGACCUGAGCAGCCAUCCUAAGCACAAUGUAACACCAGAGACCACGGAAGCCAGUGGUGCACUGAAGUGAACCAGAGCAGCAACAGAAGUCCAGUUCAACUCAACUCCUGACCAGAUUGAGUCAGGUUCCCAAAUAAACUACCAGAAGAAUCCAGUUCAACUCAACUCCUGACCAGAUUGAGUCAGGUUCCCAAAUAAACUACCAGAAGAAUCCAGUUCAACUCAACUCCUGACCAGAUUGAGUCAGGUUCCCAAAUAAACUACCAGAAGAAUCCAGUUCAACUCAACUCCUGACCAGAUUGAGUCAGGUUCCCAAAUAAACUACCAGAAGAAUCCAGUUCAACUCAACUCCUGACCAGAUUGAGUCAGGUUCCCAAAUAAACUACCAGAAGAAUCCAGUUCAACUCAACUCCUGACCAGAUUGAGUCAGGUUCCCAAAUAAACUACCAGAAGAAUCCAGUUCAACUCAACUCCUGACCAGAUUGAGUCAGGUUCCCAAAUAAACUACCUAGAAGAAGAGUUAUAAUUAUUUCCAGGGAUAGAUACUAUACACCUCAGUAUAUCACAGCAAAACUGAAGGUAGGAACUCAAAAAGAUACCGCAGGCCAAAUUUCCUGGGAGAAAAAGAUGGAAGCAAUCCAAAUGUCUAUCAGCAGAUGACUGGAUAGACAAAACAUGGCUUAUACAUGCAAUGGAAUAUUAAUUCAGCGUUAAAAAGUAAUGAAGUUCUGAUACUUAAAUGAAUCUUGAAAACAUUAUGCUAAGUAAAAUAAGCUAGAACAAAAGGAUAAUUAGUGUAUAAUUCCACAGUAAUUAUCCAAGAGGUACCAAGAGUCGUCAAACUCAUAUAGACAAAAGUAGAAUAGAGGUUACCAGGAGCCUGGGGGAGGUAAAAGUGAGGAAUUAUUAUUUGGGGUGAUAAAAAGUUAUAGAAAUGGGUGGUGCUUAUGGUUGCAUGUGCUGUGAAUGUACUUGGUGCCACCGAAUUGGACAUCUAUAAGUAGGUGAAAUGGGCUGGGUGCUGUGGCUCACACCUGUAAUCCCAGCACUCUGGGAGGCUGAAGCAGGUGGAUCAUUUGAGGUCAGGAGUUUGAGACCAGCCUGGCCAACAUGGUGAAACCCCAUCUCUACUAAAAAUACAAAAAUUAGCUGGGUAUGAUGGCGGGCGCCUAUAAUCCCAGCUACUUGGGAGGCUGAGGCGGGAGAAUCGCUUGAACCCAGGAGGUGGAAGUUGCAGUGAGCUGAGAUCACGCCACUGCACUCCAGCCUGGGCGACAAAGCGAGACUCCGUCUCAAAAAAAUAAAAAUAAAAAAAUAGUUAAAAUGGCAAAUUUUAUAUUAUAUUACAUAUAUGUUUUAUAAUUUUUAAAAUAACAUUUUUAAAAGAGUUCAUAAAAAUCUCCAGGCUCAGAUAGCUUCACUGGCAGAUUUACCAAACAUUUAAGAAAGAAAUAGUGCCAAUUUUACACAAACUUAGCGUAAGAAUUUUCUUCCACUUAGCGUAAUGUUUUCAAGGUUCACUCAUGUAUCAGAAUUUUAUUCCUUUUCAAAGCUUUCAGAUAAUUGAGAGAGAACACUUAUCCAUUCAUUCUGUGAAGUUAGCAUUGCGUUGGCACCAAAACCAGAUGAAAACAAUACAAGAAGAGAAAUCUACAGGCCAAUUCCCGUCAUGAAUAUAGGUGCAAAAAUCUUCAACAAAGGAUUAGCAAGUCAAAUAAACGAUAUAUAAAAAUAUAAUAAAUCAUGACCAAGUGGAAUUUAUUCCAUGAAUGGAAUGCUCGUUCAAAUAUUAGAAAAUUAAACAAUGUAAUUCACCAUAUCAAUAAAAUAAAUUAUCAUUUGAUGAGAUUCAGAAAAACCAUUUGACAAAAUCCAAAAUCCAUUUUUGAUAAAAACUCUCAGCAAACUAGGAAUAUGAGGGAACUUCCUCCAAGUGAGCAUCUACCAAAAAUUUGCCAACAUCAUACUUAAUGGUGAGAAACUAAAUGUUUUCCCCUUAUGAUCAGGAACAAGAACGGAUGCCCACUUUCACCAACCCUAUUCAACCUCAUAUUAGAGAUCCUAGCCAAAACACUAAAGUGAGGUGGGGAAGAGAAUACACAUUGAAAGAAAGAGAUAAAACUAUCUCUAUUUGCAUAUGACAUGAUUAUCUAAGUAGAAAAUCUCAAAUAAUAUACAAAAAUGGCUAGAACUAGCAAAUGAAUUUAAUAAGACCAGAGGAUACAAGGUCAAUACUAAAAUAUCAAUAGUUUUAUUAUAUAAUACCAAUAAAAAAGUAAUAAUUGAAAUUUUAAAAACUGUGUUAUUUACAAUUGUACCAAUAAACAGAAAAUACUUAGAUAUAAACCUAAUAGAGUUUAUAUGAGGUCUGUAUGUUUGAAAAUAAUAAAACACUGAGAUGCGAAAUCAAAGAUCUGAAUAAAUGGAUGUAUACCAUGUGUGCCAUGUCCAUGGACUGAAAGACUCAAUAUUUCUAAAGUGCCAGUUUUCCCCCAAGUUGAUCUAUGGAUUCAGUGCUAUCCCAGUUAUAAUCCCUGAAGGAUUAUUUGUAGAAAUCAAUAAGCUUGUUCUAAAAUUUAUAUGGAAAGGCAAAGCAACUGUAAUUGUCGGGUAAAUAAUAAAUAUCCUUAUGGUUUAAGUCA
Long non-coding RNA from Pan troglodytes (chimpanzee), 4287 nucleotides. RefSeq lists it as uncharacterized. Lineage: Eukaryota; Metazoa; Chordata; Mammalia; Primates; Hominidae. The record is from RefSeq and is a predicted model, not a curated record. The transcript has 8 exons.